This 406-nucleotide ribosomal RNA is filed under the name uncultured bacterium. RNAcentral's name for it is "partial 16S ribosomal RNA". It matches the Rfam family "Bacterial small subunit ribosomal RNA", at positions 30 to 526 of the family's 1533-position model. The record is from RNAcentral.
AUUGAACGCUGGCGGCAGGCCUAACACAUGCAAGUCGAACGCGUGGCGGACGGGUGAGUAAUGUCUGGGAAACUGCCCGAUGGAUGGGGAUACCUCCUGGAACCGGUAGCUAAUCCCGCAUACCAUCGGAUGUUCCCAGAUGGGAUUAGCUAGUAGGUGGGGUAACGGCUCACCUAGGCGACGAUCCCUAGCUGGUCUGCGAGGAUGACCGGCCACACUGGAACUGAGACACGGUCCAGACUCCUACGGGAGGCAGCAGUGGGGAAUAUUGCACAAUGGGCGCAAGCCUGAUGCAGCCAUGCCGCGUGUAUGAAGAAGGCCUUCGGGUUGUAAAGUACUUUCAGCGAGGAGGCGUUACUCGCAGAAGAAGCACCGGCUAACUCCGUGCCAGCAGCCGCGGUAAUUC